UACGUAGGGUCCGAGCGUUGUCCGGAAUUAUUGGGCGUAAAGGGCUCGUAGGCGGUUCGUCGCGUCGGCUGUGAAAACCUGAGGCUCAACCUCAGGCCUGCAGUCGAUACGGGCGGACUUGAGUACUGCAGGGGAGACUGGAAUUCCUGGUGUAGCGGUGAAAUGCGCAGAUAUCAGGAGGAACACCGGUGGCGAAGGCGGGUCUCUGGGCAGUAACUGACGCUGGAGGAGCGAAAGCGUGGGGAGCGAACAGG
This 254-nucleotide ribosomal RNA is filed under the name uncultured bacterium. RNAcentral describes it as "partial 16S ribosomal RNA". It matches the Rfam family "Bacterial small subunit ribosomal RNA", at positions 524 to 776 of the family's 1533-position model. The record is from RNAcentral.